This 793-nucleotide ribosomal RNA is filed under the name beta proteobacterium endosymbiont of Nesophrosyne makaihe. Its description in RNAcentral is "bacterial SSU rRNA". It matches the Rfam family "Bacterial small subunit ribosomal RNA", at positions 554 to 1362 of the family's 1533-position model. Lineage: Bacteria; Pseudomonadati; Pseudomonadota; Betaproteobacteria. The record is from RNAcentral.
UUGGGCGUAAAGUGUGUUCCGGCUGUCUAAAAAGAUUUAUAUUAAAUCUUUGAGUUCAACUCAAAAAAUGUAUAGAUUACUGUUAGGCUUGAGUUUAAUAUAAGAAAAUGGAAUUUUGUGUGUAGCGGUGAAAUGUGCAGAUAUACAAAGGAACGCCGAAGGCGAAAGCAUUUUUCUUGGUUAAAACUGACGCUUAUACACGAAAGCGUGGGUAGCAAACAGGAUUAGAUACCCUGGUAGUCCACGCCCUAAACUAUGUCGAUUAGCUGUUUUUUAGUAGCGAAGCUAACGCGUUAAAUCGACCGCCUGGGAACUACGAUCGCAAGAUUAAAACUCAAAGGAAUUGACGGGGACCAGCACAAGCGGUGGAUGAUGUGGAUUAAUUCGAUGAUACACGAAAAACCUUACCUACUCUUGACAUGGUUAGAGUUUUAUUGAAAAAUAAAAGUGCUUGAAAAAGAACUAACACACAGGUGCUGCAUGGCUGUUGUCAGCUCGUGUCGUGAGAUGUUGGGUUAAGUCCCGCAACGAGCGCAACCCCCACUCUUAGUUGCUAAAUUUUAAGAACUUUAAGAGAACUGCCGACGAUAAGUCUAGGAGGAAGGAGGGGAAGACUUCAAGUCCUCAUGGCCCUUAUGAGUAGGGCUUCACACGUCAUACAAUGGUUGACACAAUAAGUUGCAAAAUUGCGAAAUAGAGCCAAUCUCAAAAAUCAAUCUUAGUUCGGAUUGCACUCUGCAACUCGAGUGCAUGAAGUUGGAAUCGCUAGUAAUCGCAGAUCAGCAUGCUGCGG